CCUACGGGGUGCAGCAGUGGGGAAUAUUGCACAAUGGGGGAAACCCUGAUGCAGCCAUGCCGCGUGUGUGAAGAAGGCCUUCGGGUUGUAAAGCACUUUCAGUAGGGAGGAAGGUAGUGUAGUUAACACCUGCAUUAUUUGACGUUACCUACAGAAGAAGCACCGGCUAACUCCGUGCCAGCAGCCGCGGUAAUACGGAGGGUGCGAGCGUUAAUCGGAAUUACUGGGCGUAAAGCGCAUGCAGGCGGCCUGUUAAGUCAGAUGUGAAAGCCCGGGGCUUAACCUCGGAAUUGCAUUUGAAACUGGCAGGCUAGAGUCUUGUAGAGGGGGGUAGAAUUUCAGGUGUAGCGGUGAAAUGCGUAGAGAUCUGAAGGAAUACCAGUGGCGAAGGCGGCCCCCUGGACAAAGACUGACGCUCAGAUGCGAAAGCGUGGGGAGCAAACAGGAUUAGAUACCCGGGUAGUC
RNAcentral lists this ribosomal RNA (465 nucleotides) under uncultured bacterium. RNAcentral describes it as "bacterial SSU rRNA". It matches the Rfam family "Bacterial small subunit ribosomal RNA", at positions 338 to 795 of the family's 1533-position model. The record is from RNAcentral.